Molecule: non-coding RNA, 407 nt
Filed under: Daphnia magna
Lineage: Eukaryota; Metazoa; Arthropoda; Branchiopoda; Diplostraca; Daphniidae
Description: Eukaryotic large subunit ribosomal RNA
Rfam family: Eukaryotic large subunit ribosomal RNA
Source: Rfam by way of RNAcentral
ACACACGGAACUUAAGUUCAAGUCCCAACUCAUUCAGGGCAUUGAAAAAUGUUGGCGGCAGUUGACGUUGUUGAAGCCGUUAAAGAAACGAAUCGUCCAAGUCUCCAUGAACGGGGCGAGCAACCCACAGAGGGUGUCAGGCCCGUAGCUUAGACGAGCCGAGACCGUGCAUCGGAUCCCUUCCCAAGAGUCGGGUUGCUUGAGCGUGCAGCCCUAAGCGGGAGGUAAACUCCUUCUAAGGCUAAAUAUCGCCACGAGACCGAUAGCGAACAAGUACCGCGAGGGAAAGUUGAAAAGAACUUUGAAGAGAGAGUUCAAGAGUGCGUGAAACCGUUCAGGGGGUUAAACGGGUGGGCCCUCGAAGGUCGAACGAGCCCCCGCUCCCGGCACUUGGUUGCAUGCCCUCU